UUAGAGGAAGUAAAAGUCGUAACAAGGUCUCCGUUGGUGAACCAGCGGAGGGAUCAUUACUGAGUUUACGCUCUACAACCCUUUGUGAACAUACCUAUAACUGUUGCUUCGGCGGGUAGGGUCUCCGCGACCCUCCCGGCCUCCCGCCCCCGGGCGGGUCGGCGCCCGCCGGAGGAUAACCAAACUCUGAUUUAACGACGUUUCUUCUGAGUGGUACAAGCAAAUAAUCAAAACUUUUAACAACGGAUCUCUUGGUUCUGGCAUCGAUGAAGAACGCAGCGAAAUGCGAUAAGUAAUGUGAAUUGCAGAAUUCAGUGAAUCAUCGAAUCUUUGAACGCACAUUGCGCCCGCCAGCAUUCUGGCGGGCAUGCCUGUUCGAGCGUCAUUUCAACCCUCAAGCUCUGCUUGGUGUUGGGGCCCUACAGCCGAUGUAGGCCCUCAAAGGUAGUGGCGGACCCUCUCGGAGCCUCCUUUGCGUAGUAACUUUACGUCUCGCACUGGGAUCCGGAGGGACUCUUGCCGUAAAACCCCCAAUUUUCCAAAGGUUGACCUCGGAUCAGGUAGGAAUACCCGCUGAACUUAAGCAUAUCAAUAA
RNAcentral lists this ribosomal RNA (595 nucleotides) under Colletotrichum sp. ETHCTR154. RNAcentral describes it as "eukaryotic LSU rRNA". The stretch from base 232 to 385 matches the Rfam family "5.8S ribosomal RNA". Lineage: Eukaryota; Fungi; Ascomycota; Sordariomycetes; Glomerellales; Glomerellaceae. The record is from RNAcentral.